CAUGCAGGUGGUUUGUUAAGUCAGAUGUGAAAGCCCGGGGCUCAACCUCGGAAUAGCAUUUGAAACUGGCAGACUAGAGUACUGUAGAGGGGGGUAGAAUUUCAGGUGUAGCGGUGAAAUGCGUAGAGAUCUGAAGGAAUACCGGUGGCGAAGGCGGCCCCCUGGACAGAUACUGACACUCAGAUGCGAAAGCGUGGGGAGCAAACA
This 207-nucleotide ribosomal RNA is filed under the name uncultured Pseudoalteromonadaceae bacterium. Its description in RNAcentral is "partial 16S ribosomal RNA". It matches the Rfam family "Bacterial small subunit ribosomal RNA", at positions 568 to 774 of the family's 1533-position model. The record is from RNAcentral. Lineage: Bacteria; Pseudomonadati; Pseudomonadota; Gammaproteobacteria; Alteromonadales; Pseudoalteromonadaceae.